RNAcentral lists this ribosomal RNA (566 nucleotides) under uncultured bacterium. RNAcentral describes it as "partial 16S ribosomal RNA". It matches the Rfam family "Bacterial small subunit ribosomal RNA", at positions 1 to 546 of the family's 1533-position model. The record is from RNAcentral.
GCCGCGAAUUCGCCCUUAGGGUUUGAUUAUGGCUCAGAUUGAACGCUGGCGGCAGGCCUAACACAUGCAAGUCGAGCGGUAGCACAGGAGAGCUUGCUCUCCGGGUGACGAGCGGCGGACGGGUGAGUAAUGUCUGGGAAACUGCCCGAUGGAGGGGGAUAACCACUGGAAACGGUGGCUAAUACCGCAUAACGUCUACGGACCAAAGAGGGGGACCUUCGGGCCUCUUGCCAUCGGAUGUGCCCAGAUGGGAUUAGCUAGUAGGUGGGGUAACGGCUCACCUAGGCGACGAUCCCUAGCUGGUCUGAGAGGAUGACCAGCCACACUGGAACUGAGACACGGUCCAGACUCCUACGGGAGGCAGCAGUGGGGAAUAUUGCACAAUGGGCGCAAGCCUGAUGCAGCCAUGCCGCGUGUGUGAAGAAGGCCUUCGGGUUGUAAAGCACUUUCAGCGAGGAGGAAGGCCAAUAGCUUAAUACGCUGUUGGAUUGACGUUACUCGCAGAAGAAGCACCGGCUAACUCCGUGCCAGCAGCCGCGGUAAUACGGAGGGUGCAAGCGUUAAUC